CUGGCGUCUGCUAUAAUGCAGUCGAGCGAACAGAUAAGGAGCUUGCUCCUUUGAAGUUAGCGGCGGACGGGUGAGUAACACGUGGGUAACCUACCUAUAAGACUGGAAUAACUUCGGGAAACCGGAGCUAAUGCCGGAUAACAUAUAGAACCGCAUGGUUCUAUAGUGAAAGAUGGUUUUGCUAUCACUUAUAGAUGGACCCGCGCCGUAUUAGCUAGUUGGUAAGGUAAAGGCUUACCAAGGCGACGAUACGUAGCCGACCUGAGAGGGUGAUCGGCCACACUGGAACUGAGACACGGUCCAGACUCCUACGGGAGGCAGCAGUAGGGAAUCUUCCGCAAUGGGCGAAAGCCUGACGGAGCAACGCCGCGUGAGUGAUGAAGGUUUUCGGAUCGUAAAACUCUGUUAUUAGGGAAGAACAAAUGCGUAAGUAACUGUGCGCAUCUUGACGGUACCUAAUCAGAAAGCCACGGCUAACUACGUGCCAGCAGCCGCGGUAAUACGUAGGUGGCAAGCGUUAUCCGGAAUUAUUGGGCGUAAAGCGCGCGUAGGCGGUUUCUUAAGUCUGAUGUGAAAGCCCACGGCUCAACCGUGGAGGGUCAUUGGAAACUGGGAAACUUGAGUGCAGAAGAGGAAAGUGGAAUUCCAUGUGUAGCGGUGAAAUGCGCAGAGAUAUGGAGGAACACCAGUGGCGAAGGCGGACUUUCUGGUCUGUAACUGACGCUGAUGUGCGAAAGCGUGGGGAUCAAACAGGAUUAGAUAACCCUGGUAGUCCACGCCGUAAACGAGGAGUGCUAGGGGGUAGGGGGGUUUCCGCCCCUUAGUGCUGCAGCUAACGCAUUAAGCACUCCGGCCUGGGGAGUACGACCGCAAGGUUGAAACUCAAAGGAAUUGACGGGGACCCGCACAAGCGGGGGGAGCAUGGGGUUUAAUUCGAAGCAACGCGAAGAACCUUACCAAAUCUUGGCAUCCUUUGAAACUCUAGAGUAGAGCCUUCCCUUCGGGGAAAAAGUGAAGGGGGGGGAUGGUUGCCUCAGCUCGGGCCGGGA
This 1049-nucleotide ribosomal RNA is filed under the name Staphylococcus succinus subsp. succinus. RNAcentral's name for it is "bacterial SSU rRNA". It matches the Rfam family "Bacterial small subunit ribosomal RNA", at positions 36 to 1070 of the family's 1533-position model. Lineage: Bacteria; Bacillati; Bacillota; Bacilli; Caryophanales; Staphylococcaceae. The record is from RNAcentral.